GUUACUAUGCAUUUGAACCCCACCUAGAGCUUUUAGAAAAAGUUCUCAAAAUUUGAUCCCAGUGCUCUGAAUCCUAGACUAGUAAGAAUGUGCUCUGACCAUCAUUAGUGCCCUGGUGAAUCCUUGUUGAAUUUGCUGAGGCGGCCUCAAACUUGGAAUCCUGCUACCCCAGCUUCCCAAAUCGGGCAGGAGGCUUGUGCCACCAAGCCUAGCUCCAACCAGAUUGUUUUUAAUACUAAAUGUUUUAUUAGCCUGUGUGACCUCAGGAAUUUAGAAGAUUUAAAUCUAAAUAGGAAAAAAGAUCCCAGAACUGACUACAUUCUGUUUUCUACCUACAUUUCCACCCUCAGUGAUCUCAUCCAUUUCCAUGAGUGCAGGUAUCACCUAUGUACUGAAGACUCCCAGUUUUCUCCCCAAAGUGAUCUUCCUCUCCUAACCUCCUGGCUCAUUUAACUGCCUAUCUAACAUUCCACUCAGAUGUUUAAUAGUUUUUCUUAAUUUAGUAAACCACAAACAGCUUUGAUUUUCUUUCCCAAACUAUUCUCUCUAGUCCUCUGACUCAGAAAAAUGGUGCCACUACCCACCCAGAUGCUCAAGGCAAACCCUUAAAGUCAUCCAUUCCUUUUUAUCUCCCAAAUCUGUCAGCUCUACCACUGAAAUAUAUACAGAAUCAGUCCAUUUCUGUCUCCACUGGCCCUAGUCACUUGCCUCAUUCAUUAUUGCCCUGUCCUCCCACCUUUAGCAACAAUCUUUUGACAAAUUAGGAUUGUUUUAAGAACCGAAAUUAAGUCACUCCAAGUCAUCAUAUGCUUCCAUCACUGAGAAGGAAAAAAAAAAAAUCAAUCCUUCAUUAAACCUCCAGGAUUGGUAAAUAUCAUUUCCAAAUUGAUAAUAGCCCCAUUGAGGACAGAAGAAGACAGAACAUAAUUGUUCUACAUUGAAGCGAAUGUUCCCAUCCCAGAAUAUUGGCAUGGCUAAGUUUGUUUGUUGUUUUUUUAAUUUUCAAAGAAAUUGCAAGUCAAGAAUGUUUUUGUUUUUAGUGAAAUCUCAAAAACACCAUGUGGGCUGAAGGUGCUCUGUGGCCCUCACUUUGUGCUGCCUCUCCAACUGGAUCUGCUGUACUCUUCCUCUUUAUUCUCAUUGGCUAGCUUUCUAGUCCUCUAAUGUGCCAUUUCGGAUCUUGUGUCAUUGUCCUUCUCUACUUGGAACCUGACUUCAGGUAGCAUGACAAUCUUUGUCCCAAUGUCCCUUUCUGAGUUAAAAAGUCAUCCCCCACCUCCUGCCACUACCAUAUUAAUAAGUUCAU
This 1306-nucleotide long non-coding RNA is filed under the name Marmota monax (woodchuck). The record is from RNAcentral. Lineage: Eukaryota; Metazoa; Chordata; Mammalia; Rodentia; Sciuridae.